This 590-nucleotide ribosomal RNA is filed under the name uncultured bacterium. RNAcentral describes it as "partial 16S ribosomal RNA". It matches the Rfam family "Bacterial small subunit ribosomal RNA", at positions 355 to 1376 of the family's 1533-position model. The record is from RNAcentral.
UGGGGAAUAUUGGACAAUGGGCGCAAGCCUGAUCCAGCAAUGCCGCGUGUGUGAAGAAGGCCUUCGGGUUGUAAAGCACUUUUAUCAGGAGCGAAACGCUGUCGGCUAAUACCCGGCGGAACUGGCGGUACCUGAGGAAUAAGCACCGGCUAACUUCGUGCCAGCAGCCGCGGUAAUACGAAGGGUGCAAGCGUUAAUCGGAAUUACUGGGCGUAAAGCGUGCGUAGGCGGUUUCUUAAGUCUGCUGUGAAAUCCCCGGGCUCAACCUGGGAAUGGCAGUGGAUACUGGGAGGCUAGAGUGUGUCAGAGGGUGGUGGAAUUCCCGGUGUAGCGGUGAAAUGCGUAGAGAUCGGAAGGAACAUCAGUGGCGAAGGCGGCCACCUGGGACAACACUGACGCUGAGGCACGAAAGCGUGGGGAGCAAACAGGAUUAGAUACCCUGGUAGUCCACGCCCUAAAGCGAUGCGAACUGGAUGUUGGUCUCAACUCGGAGAUCAGUGUCGAAGCUAACGCGUUAAGUUCGCCGCCUGGGGGAGUACGGUCGCAAGACUGAAACUUAAAUGAAUUGACGGGGUCAUAGCUGUUUCCUG